GAUGAAGAACGCAGCGUAAUGCGAUACGUAAUGUGAAUUGCAGAAUUCAGUGAAUCAUCGAGUCUUUGAACGCACAUUGCACCCCCUGGUAUUCCGGGGGGCAUGCCUGUCCGAGCGUCAUUGCUGCCCUCAAGCACGGCUUGUGUGUUGGGCCUCCGUCCUCCUCCCGGGGGACGGGCCCGAAAGGCAGCGGCGGCACCGCGUCCGGUCCUCGAGCGUAUGGGGCUUCGUCACCCGCUCUUGUAGGCCCGGCCGGCGCUUGCCGACACAUCAAUCUUUUUUCCAGGUUGACCUCGGAUCAGGUAGGGAUACCCGCUGAACUUAAGCAUAUCAAUAAGCGGAGGA
Molecule: unclassified non-coding RNA, 345 nt
Filed under: soil metagenome
Description: partial contains 5.8S ribosomal RNA, internal transcribed spacer 2, and large subunit ribosomal RNA
Rfam family: 5.8S ribosomal RNA (bases 1-120)
Source: RNAcentral